GUCGAGCGGGAUUAAAAGUAGCUUGCUAUUUUUUAUGAGAGCGGCGAACGGGUGAGGAACACGUUGGUACCUGCCCCCAAGUCAGGGAUAGCCUAGGGAAACCUAGAUUAAUACCGGAUGUGCUCUUCGGAGUAAAGAUUUAUCGCUUGGGGAGGGACCUGCGUCCUAUCAGCUAGUUGGUGAGGUAAUAGCUCACCAAGGCUAUGACGGGUAACUGGUCUGAGAGGAUGACCAGUCACAAUGGAACUGAGACACGGUCCAUACUCCUACGGGAGGCAGCAGUGAGGAAUCUUCCACAAUGGGCGAAAGCCUGAUGGAGCGACACCGCGUGAAGGAUGAAGGCCUAACGGUUGUAAACUUCUUUUCUGAGGGAGCAUAAUGAGAGUACCUCAGGAAUAAGGGGCGGCUAAUCACGUGCCAGCAGCCGCGGUAAUACGUGAGUCCCGAGCGUUACCCGGAAUUAUUGGGUGUAAAGGGUUCGUAGGUGGAUUUUUAAGUCAGGUAUGAAAGACCGAAGCUCAACUUCGUGUUUGUAUUUGAAACUGGGAAGUCUAGAAUCAGGAGAGGUAAGCGGAAUUCUCAGUGUAGGGGUGCAAUCCGUAGAUACUGAGAGGAACACCAAAAGCGAAGGCAGCUUACUGGAACUGUAUUGACACUGAGGAACGAAAGCGUGGGGAGCAAAGAGGAUUAGAUACCCUCGUAGUCCACGCCCUAAACGAUGAUAACUAAGUGUUGCACGUAGGUGCAGUGCUAAAGCUAACGCAUUAAGUUAUCCACCUGAGGAGUACGGUCGCAAGAUUAAAACUCAAAGGAAUAGACAGGGACCCACACAAGCAGUGGAUCACGUGGUUUAAUUCGACAAUAAACGGGGAAUCUCACCUAGGCUUGACAUCCCGAGAACCCCCUGGAAACAGAGGGGUGCCCGCAAGGGAGCUCGGUGACGGGUGCUGCAUGGUUGUCGUCAGCUCGUGCCUUGAGGUGUUCGGUUAAGUCCGUUAACGAGCGCAACCCAUGUCCUUAGUUACUAUGUCUAAGGAGACUGCCUUGGUUAACAAGGAGGAAGGUGUGGAUGACGUCAAAUCAGCAUGGCUUUUACGCCUAGGGCUACACACAUGAUACAAUGGUCUGUACAAAGAGCAGCAAUACCGCGAGGUGGAGCCAAUCUUCAAAGCAGAUCUCAGUCCGGAUUGGAGUCUGAAACUCGACUCCAUGAAGUUGGAAUUGCUAGUAAUCGUGAAUCAGAUAUGUCACGGUGAAUAUGUUCCUGGGUCUUGUACUCACCGCCCGUUCACGGCAUGGGAGGUAGUAAUAUCGGAAGCUCCUCUAG
RNAcentral lists this ribosomal RNA (1327 nucleotides) under uncultured bacterium. RNAcentral's name for it is "bacterial SSU rRNA". It matches the Rfam family "Bacterial small subunit ribosomal RNA", at positions 61 to 1435 of the family's 1533-position model. The record is from RNAcentral.